Molecule: ribosomal RNA, 497 nt
Filed under: uncultured bacterium
Lineage: Bacteria
Description: partial 16S ribosomal RNA
Rfam family: Bacterial small subunit ribosomal RNA
Source: RNAcentral
GACGAACGCUGGCGGCGUGCCUAAUACAUGCAAGUUGAGCGCUGAAGGUUGGUACUUGUCCCAACUGGAUGAGCAGCGAACGGGUGAGUAACGCGUGGGGAAUCUGCCUUUGAGCGGGGGACAACAUUUGGAAACGAAUGCUAAUACCGCAUAAAAACUUUAAACACAAGUUUUAAGUUUGAAAGAUGCAAUUGCAUCACUCAAAGAUGAUCCCGCGUUGUAUUAGCUAGUUGGUGAGGUAAAGGCUCACCAAGGCGAUGAUACAUAGCCGACCUGAGAGGGUGAUCGGCCAAAUUGGGAAUGAGACACGGCACAAACGCCUACGGGAGGCAGCAGUAGGGAAUCUUAGGCAAUGGACGAAAGUCUGACCGAGCAAAGCCGCGUGAGUGAAGAAGGGUUUCGGAUCGUAAAACUCUGUUGGUAGAGAAGAAAGUUGGUGAGAGUGGAAAGCUAAUCAAGUGACGGUAACUACCCAGAAAGGGACGGCUAACUACGUG